UACGUAGGUGGCAAGCGUUACUCGGAAUUACUAGGUGUAAAACGCAAGUAGGUGGUUCAAUAAGUUAGGGGUGAAAUUUACGAUUAAAAUCGUAAGGGUCUUCUAAUACUGUUGAACUUGAGCAUAAAAUGGGGAACCAGAAUUCCUGGUGUAGCGGUGAAAUGCGUAGAUAUCAGGAGGAAUACCGAUGGCGAAGGCGGGUUCCUGAUUUAUUGCUGACACUGAUUUGCGAAAGCUAGGGGAGCAAACAGG
Molecule: ribosomal RNA, 252 nt
Filed under: uncultured bacterium
Lineage: Bacteria
Description: partial 16S ribosomal RNA
Rfam family: Bacterial small subunit ribosomal RNA
Source: RNAcentral